GACGAACGCUGGCGGCGUGCCUAAUACAUGCAAGUCGAACGCUUCUUUCCUCCCGAGUGCUUGCACUCAAUUGGAAAGAGGAGUGGCGGACGGGUGAGUAACACGUGGGUAACCUACCCAUCAGAGGGGGAUAACACUUGGAAACAGGUGCUAAUACCGCAUAACAGUUUAUGCCGCAUGGCAUAAGAGUGAAAGGCGCUUUCGGGCGUCGCUGAUGGAUGGACCCGCGGUGCAUUAGCUAGUUGGUGAGGUAACGGCUCACCAAGGCGACGAUGCAUAGCCGACCUGAGAGGGUGAUCGGCCACACUGGGACUGAGACACGGCCCAGACUCCUACGGGAGGCAGCAGUAGGGAAUCUUCGGCAAUGGACGAAAGUCUGACCGAGCAACGCCGCGUGAGUGAAGAAGGUUUUCGGAUCGUAAAACUCUGUUGUUAGAGAAGAACAAGGACGUUAGUAACUGAACGUCCCCUGACGGUAUCUAACCAGAAAGCCACGGCUAACUACGUG
This 508-nucleotide ribosomal RNA is filed under the name uncultured bacterium. Its description in RNAcentral is "partial 16S ribosomal RNA". It matches the Rfam family "Bacterial small subunit ribosomal RNA", at positions 28 to 507 of the family's 1533-position model. The record is from RNAcentral.